UACGUGAUCCUCAAGCGUUAUCCGGAUUUAUUGGGCGUAAAGCGCUCGUAGGCGGCUAGAUAAGUCUUUGGUUAAAAACUCACGGCUCAACCUUGAGGGUGCCAGGGAUACUAUCUAGCUAGAGGACGUUAGGGGCUGAUAGAACGGUCGGUGUAGGGGUGAAAUCCGUUGAUAUCGACCGGAAUACCAAAAGCGAAGGCAUUCAGCUGGGACGAUCCUGACGCUGAGGAGCGAAAGCGUGGGUA
RNAcentral lists this ribosomal RNA (245 nucleotides) under uncultured bacterium. RNAcentral describes it as "partial 16S ribosomal RNA". It matches the Rfam family "Bacterial small subunit ribosomal RNA", at positions 524 to 767 of the family's 1533-position model. The record is from RNAcentral.